AGGGCAGUAGCUCAACUUGGCAGAGCAUCGGACUCCAAAUCCGAAGGCUGGGGGUUCAAGUCCCUCCUGCCCUGCCA
Molecule: transfer RNA, 77 nt
Filed under: Caldimicrobium thiodismutans
Lineage: Bacteria; Pseudomonadati; Thermodesulfobacteriota; Thermodesulfobacteria; Thermodesulfobacteriales; Thermodesulfobacteriaceae
Also listed under: 3 other names
Description: tRNA-Trp
Rfam family: tRNA
About the family: Transfer RNA (tRNA) molecules are approximately 80 nucleotides in length. Their secondary structure includes four short double-helical elements and three loops (D, anti-codon, and T loops). Further hydrogen bonds mediate the characteristic L-shaped molecular structure. tRNAs have two regions of fundamental functional importance: the anti-codon, which is responsible for specific mRNA codon recognition, and the 3' end, to which the tRNAs corresponding amino acid is attached (by aminoacyl-tRNA synthetases). tRNAs cope with the degeneracy of the genetic code in two manners: having more than one tRNA (with a specific anti-codon) for a particular amino acid; and 'wobble' base-pairing, i.e. permitting non-standard base-pairing at the 3rd anti-codon position.
Source: RNAcentral